RNAcentral lists this transfer RNA (75 nucleotides) under Eubacterium ruminantium. Its description in RNAcentral is "tRNA_Ile_GAT". It matches the Rfam family "tRNA". Rfam says of the family: Transfer RNA (tRNA) molecules are approximately 80 nucleotides in length. Their secondary structure includes four short double-helical elements and three loops (D, anti-codon, and T loops). The record is from RNAcentral. Lineage: Bacteria; Bacillati; Bacillota; Clostridia; Eubacteriales; Eubacteriaceae.
AGGAAGAUAACUCAGUUGGUUCAGAGUACCUGUCUGAUACGCAGGGUGUCAUGGGUUCGAAUCCCAUUCUUCCUA